AAACAAUUGUCAUCUUCAGUUUUGAGAGACUUAAGAAAGUUUUUCAUUAUAACUAACUUACUUGCAAAUUGUAUUUACAAUAUUUUAAUCUUUUUAAUAUUAAGGGACUAUAGAUCAGUUGGUUAUAGAGUACACACCUAAUAAUUGUGAGGUCGGUGGUUCAAGUUACACAUUUAGGCCCACCAUAACCACAAAUAGGCAAAAUAUUAAAAA
Molecule: unclassified non-coding RNA, 213 nt
Filed under: Sowthistle cladodes phytoplasma
Lineage: Bacteria; Bacillati; Mycoplasmatota; Mollicutes; Acholeplasmatales; Acholeplasmataceae
Also listed under: 1 other name
Description: 16S-23S ribosomal RNA intergenic spacer
Source: RNAcentral